ACACGGGCGUAGAUAUUUGUCAAGAAAUUUGUUUUGGCUUCUAUUUGAGACGUGUGAAUUUUCAGAAUUGGUAAUAGCCUUCUUCUUCUUCUCACCCACCAACCACACUCACCCAGGGUUUUGGAUGACACUGAUCCGAA
Non-coding RNA from Caenorhabditis elegans, 140 nucleotides. The record is from Ensembl. Lineage: Eukaryota; Metazoa; Nematoda; Chromadorea; Rhabditida; Rhabditidae.